GACAGAGGGUGCAAACGUUGUUCGGAAUUACUGGGCGUAAAGCGCUUGUAGGCGGCUAUGCAAGUCGGAUGUGAAAGCCCUCGGCUCAACCGGGGAAGUGCACCCGAAACUGCAAAGCUAGAGUCUCGGAGAGGAUCGUGGAAUUCUCGGUGUAGAGGUGAAAUUCGUAGAUAUCCUGAGGAACACCGGUGGCGAAAGCGGCGUGCUGGACACCUUCUGACGCUGAGGCGCGAAAGCCAGGGGAGCGAACGGG
RNAcentral lists this ribosomal RNA (253 nucleotides) under uncultured bacterium. RNAcentral describes it as "partial 16S ribosomal RNA". It matches the Rfam family "Bacterial small subunit ribosomal RNA", at positions 524 to 776 of the family's 1533-position model. The record is from RNAcentral.